UCUAUAAUGAAUUAAUUAAAUAUCGAUUCAGGAAGGCAAUGAUAUGGAAAAAAUUUGUUAACGAAGCUGGAUGUGAAUCACCGGUGCGUAUAUUAUUAAAAGUAUUUAAUCAGCUGUUUUUCCUACUUUGGUUUACAAGACUGGUUCAAAUGAAGAUGUCCAACCAAUUUCAAGCAAAUAACAAACAGAGGUUUCUAACCCUUGUUCUGAGUUUCUUGUUUGCAAACUAUGUAGUAUGGCCACUGAUGCUCAUUACGACCCAUUUUUUCCUAAAUUAUCACAACCACUGGAUCUUAGCGCUGCUGAUGGUAUAUUUGGAUCGCUUUUCCAACCGCUGGAGUACCCGGCUUUGCUCAGGAAGCUGAUAUGAGAUUGUGUAGUAGUUGGAAUAAAAGGAUAAAGUUUAAAAUAUAAAGAGGUUUGGUAUUGAUCAAAAGAAUACCUCGCUCGAGGGACCAAAAGUAUGUUAUUGUUCUUACGAUGAAAUGCAACAUGAAAUCAAUGACAUACCUCUAACUAAAUCUUCAGAACAUGCACCUGAAUCUACAGAUGUAUCAAAAUCUAAAAAAAAGCCAAGAAAGAAGCUUAAAAAAACCACUAUCCAGUUCCACAAACCAAAAGUCAAAAGACGAUUAUCAGAUCCACUUUCAAGUUCCCAAGUUGAUAGCCAUUAAGAAGUUAUUUUAAACUAAUAAAAGUUAUAUUUUGAAAUUAA
This is an unclassified non-coding RNA of Stegodyphus dumicola, 715 nucleotides long. The record is from RefSeq and is a predicted model, not a curated record. NCBI's taxonomy places the organism in Eukaryota, Metazoa, Arthropoda, Arachnida, Araneae, Eresidae.